UCCACUCAUAACCAUAAGAUAAUUAAAACGGGGGGGGGCAGGGUUAAAAAAAACUUUUAUCAGCCAUAGGUUAAUGCAAGUGCUUAACAGAUGCUUCGCUAUUAAAAUAUUUUCCCCCCAAUACUGAAGAAUCUUAAACCAGCAACCCUAACAGAGACCUGUGAAGGUUUUCAAAGUGGGGCACCUCGAUUUCUCGAAUCCCGUGGUGUGGCGAAUAUCCGUGUUCCUCCGGCUUAACUAGCCUGCUUGGCAGGUCUGAUCCUAUUUAUUCUAAAGACAGAGUUGGAGAUGGGCUAUCAUUGGUGUUGAUUGAGAUGCCAAGCAGUCACCUGACUCUAUACAGUUGUGCUUGCUGCCAAGCCUGAUGACCUAAGUUGAAUCCUGGAACCUACAUGAUACAAAGAGAGAACUGACUCUUGAAAGACAUCCUCAGAUCUUCACAUAUGCACAGCGGCACCUAUCCAACCGUGCACAUAGUCUAUUAAAAACAUUUUUUAAAAAUCCA
This is a long non-coding RNA of Mastomys coucha (southern multimammate mouse), 505 nucleotides long. RefSeq lists it as uncharacterized. The transcript is spliced from 4 exons. NCBI's taxonomy places the organism in Eukaryota, Metazoa, Chordata, Mammalia, Rodentia, Muridae. The record is from RefSeq and is a predicted model, not a curated record.